GAUGAAGAACGUAGCGAAAUGCGAUAAGUAAUGCGAAUUGCAGAAUUCAGUGAAUCAUCGAAUCUUUGAUCGCACAUUGCGCCCGCUAGUAUUCUGGCGGGCAUGCCUGUCUGAGCGUCAUUUCAACCCUCGCCCCCGGCUUUUGCUGGGAGCGGUGUUGGGGAUCGGCCGCCCGUCACUGGGAGGCCGGCCCCGAAAUAGAGUGGCGACCACGCCGUGUGCUCCUCUGCGUAGUAGUAAAUCACCUCGCAGGCGGACAGCGGUGCGGCCUGCCGUAAAACCCCCAACUCUUUCUGGUUGACCUCAGAUCAGGUAGGAAUACCCGCUGAACUUAAGCAUAUCAAUAAGCGGAGGA
RNAcentral lists this unclassified non-coding RNA (355 nucleotides) under soil metagenome. RNAcentral describes it as "partial contains 5.8S ribosomal RNA, internal transcribed spacer 2, and large subunit ribosomal RNA". The stretch from base 1 to 120 matches the Rfam family "5.8S ribosomal RNA", at positions 35 to 154 of the family's 154-position model. The record is from RNAcentral.